GGGGUUGUGGCUCAGUGGCAGAGCACUUGCCUAGCAUGUAUGUGGCACUGGAUUCUAUUCUCAGCACCACA
This 71-nucleotide transfer RNA is filed under the name Marmota monax (woodchuck). Its description in RNAcentral is "tRNA.Ala". The record is from RNAcentral. Lineage: Eukaryota; Metazoa; Chordata; Mammalia; Rodentia; Sciuridae.